Long non-coding RNA from Oxyura jamaicensis (ruddy duck), 3643 nucleotides. RefSeq lists it as uncharacterized. The transcript is spliced from 4 exons. NCBI's taxonomy places the organism in Eukaryota, Metazoa, Chordata, Aves, Anseriformes, Anatidae. The record is from RefSeq and is a predicted model, not a curated record.
UGCCAGUAAUUGCUGCCUUUCUGUGAUGUAGUUUAGAGACUGUGUGAGUUCCGUGAACUUUAGGAAGGGUGGGUUUUCCAGCUUGUUAGUCAGUUGUGCUACCUCCCACGUGGAGAAAUGGGGUGAUGAGUGCUUCUAAGAAGCUUGAAGGAAGGUGAUCUUCAGGUGUUGCAGUGUGCCCUUGGGGCUAUAAUGAAGAUAAAUACUGACACCUUCCAAUUCUCUUUUAAAAAAUCUCUUCAGUGCUAAAGAGGCCCAAACUGUCAUCCAAUAAAGAAGGAAAUAGGCCCUGAGUAGGCCUGGAGUGACGCUGCCCUGUCCCUCAGUUCCUUGGCUCAUAAGAAUGGGAACAGUGAGGCCAGUGGAGAUGCUUUGUGCUGCUUGCAGGUGGCUCAGAGGUGUCUGAAAACAGCAGGAGAGAGAGAGGGAUGAUGGAUCUGAGGGGUGCUGGCUCUGGAUUAAAAACAUUUGCAGAACAACUCAAGCAAAUCAAGGCUGUAGUCUGCAGACAAGUGUCUGAACUAGACAGAGCUAUGCUUUUGCCCUGCUGGAAAUACCAGGUGUGUGUAGUGUGUGGUGUCCUGGGGCUCUGUGCGGGAGGAAUGGAGAGGCCCUGGGGCCCCAGUGUCACAGGCACCUCAGCUGAACACAGCCCUACACUGCCAGGCAGGAAGACAUCCAGGGGCUGGGAGGGGAGCUCUGGUGUGGAAAAGGCUGAGAGCUGUGGCUGAAGGGUUUUGCUGCUCAUCAGGAACACCCCGAGGGUUUUACUACAGUGGGAAUAACAGCUAAAGAUUUAAGUGAGCGCUAAUAACAAGGAGAAUAAAAUAAGAUUGUAAGAAAAGCAAGCAGAAAAGAUUUCUCAGCUGCAAAAUACUCUGUAAUGCUGCAAAGCAACAUUGGCUCACUGCAGACCAAAAUCCUGAGCCGCUGGGAAGAGACGGCUCGGAGAUUCCCCAGUCAUUGACUGGUUUUAAUGUAUUCCUCGCAGCCAGCCAGCGCUCCCGCUCCCGGCUUGCGGGCACGGCAGCCAACUCGCCCCCGCCGCAGCCAAUCAACGCCGCUGGAGCCGGGCUGCUCCUGCGAUGAACGUGAAGGAAGCCGAUGGCUGCGGAGUAAUGCAGACAAAGCACGGGGAUGGAGUCCCAGGAGAUGUGAUCCACCCCAUUAAAGGAGGCGUCCGUAGCCUCUGCAGCUGUGUUGAUGCUGCUUCGCGCAAGAGGCACCAGCCUCUCGUCCCCCCCGGGAGAUCGUUACGGCAUUAAUUGCCUCUGCACAAAACCCGGCCGUGAGGCUGCUCCAAGGCAGCCACCCGCUCCUGCCUCCAGCCCUCACUGAUUCCGAGAGCCCAGCCAGCAGGAGCGGCGCCCCUCCAGCUGGUCCCCGUGGAUCAGAUGUCACCUGUACCCAAUGAAGCAGAUCCCGAAGUGCCACGAAUGGAUCCCAGGAUUCUUAUUUUCCUCCUCUACGUGAUGAUCCUUCACGAGCUGGUCAGUGGCUGGAUGGAGUACCAAAAGCAGAUAGCCAAGCCAAAGAAGCAGGCGGGUCCGGUUUGGUCUUCUAGCAGCGCCACCAGACCGAACCACUCCAGCUUCUCCAGGCCGUUGGUCCAUUCAGUGCGCAGGGAGCGGUACCGGGACUGGAGGAAACCGGGACGGAUCAUCCGGAAGGCGUGAGGACACCCCAAGGUCUGUCAGGGAGCAUGGAGUGAGCUUUCUGGGCCAAAGACACCACCCCUUGUGCAGCCCACACCAACCACCGUGUAGCAACCACUGCGAGAGCGUCCCACAGGCACCAUGAGCUGCGCCCUGCAGCUUUCUCCUUCCCCUGAGCCUGGCGUGGCUGAGAAGGAAAGAGCCCCUUCCUCGCGGGGACCUGGCACUGUGUGGCGAGGGGCCGGGGGAGAUGCCCUCAGCCAGCAGCAGUGGCCUUGGAUGAGGUUUUUUCACCCCACGCAGCAAGGUGACUUUUCUUUCUUCUUCCCAAAGGGCUGAGUAGACGGAGAGCAGACUUCUUUAAGGCAGAAUGAAAUUAAUGAAAUUUGCUCCUUGGGUAACCGCAGGAAGUCUCCAAAGGGUUUCAGUCUCCUCUCGCCCACCCGAGGGCUGCAUGGCUGGUGAGAGUUGCCCAAAGUGAUGGAAAGCUUUGGUGUCCCGCUGGUGACCUGACCCCAGAGCCCCAGGGGGACGUGCUUCCACAGCAGCACCUAAAGAGAUGGCACUCAUUGCUUUGGAAAUGAGUUAAAUUGUUAAAUCUCACCCACGGGGGUCUGUACGUUCUUUCUGCUUUUCGUCACCACCGUUGAGUGGGUGGCUCUGGGCUGGAGGAAGGAAAGCACCCCGAACCGGUGACUCAGUUAUGCCACUGAAGGCAAUUGGCUGCAAUGACCUUGUAAUUAGAUUUCCUUGCAGCAUUCCCAGCAGCUGAGGCAAAUGUAAAAGUGACUUUCUAAUGAGCAGAUAGAUGGCAAAAGAAUACAAUAUUGCUCUUUUAUUAGUCUGUGAUUUAGACGUAAAAUUAGAUUUUAGAGGCAAGAGUCAGUCCUCGCGUCCUGCCGCCCUGCUUACAGUCAUGUGCAGAACGGGGAAUCUCUGAGCGCUGGCGGGAUUCUGACACCAGGCUCCUAACAGCAAAUGUUCAGGGCAAAACUGACUGCCUUGUUUGCUGAACGUAACGUUUGGCUCAAACACAGCCUGUUUUUCUCGUUGCCAACCAUUUAUAAGCCUGACUCAGGCUCGCAGACACAUUAUUCAGAAGUAGAUAGGGAAGGGACUCAGAACCAGGCAUGCCUUAUGCUGAAGUAGCCACCUGCUGCAUUUGCAUGUCCGUCUGCUUCCCGGCUGUGUGCGAGGCGCUCCUGAGGUGGGGGCUGCGUUUGCUGAAGCUUGCAGAAGGUGCCUGGGUGAGGGGAGAGAUCUGUGCCCAACCCGGGCACCCGGAGCCCCGAGCAGGAGGAAGCUGGGGGCACCCUGCUCCCGAGGUACCCGUCCUCUGCCCCGGGCAGGCCGGGCAAGUAGGCUGGUUGCAGGCCGGUUGCAGGCCUCUGCUUCUACGGGAGAUGAAGUUCUGGCCUUGUGAGAUGGAGUUUGUGUCUUGAGUUCUGAGAUUUUUUUUUGAAAAGGGGGCGGCUAGAAGUAGCAAGGAACCCGCUUUCUGCACAUCCCAAAGGAUAAACUUGCAAAGAUGUGCCUCAGCUCUGGGACACUGUGGCUAUCCCCGAGGCAUCCACUGCCUGUCCCAAUGCACACAGGUGCAUCCACAGAGAACAGAACAACAAAUGAAGAGAAGAUGUUGGGGGGAAAAACAGUGGGAAAGCAUUUCUGGGCGGUGGGGGGCUUUGCUUUCCCAGCCUGCCCCCAGCCUGUGGGGGACAUGGCUGGGUGCUCUGCCGACCCUUCUGCUGGUGUGGGGGAAUCUGCUGGGAGCGAUCAGUAUGCAGAGGUGUGUACCUGAAUUCCUGGAGUGGUGCAGGACAUGGCCGGGCUCCCAGCCUCAACGGAGCAGGCGGACCCGAAUGGGACAGAGAUGUCCAAACAGCCACACUCUUGGGAAGGGACAGGAAUGCCUUGCUUUGCUGAUCACAUGCUGGAUUUAUCCCUGUAAAUACCCUCCCGUUUCCUUCCAAUAAACUCUUUUACAUACA